Molecule: small nucleolar RNA, 138 nt
Organism: Ornithorhynchus anatinus (platypus)
Lineage: Eukaryota; Metazoa; Chordata; Mammalia; Monotremata; Ornithorhynchidae
Source: RefSeq, a predicted model, not a curated record
CCCCUCUCUGGAUCACACCUGGAGAGUUUCCAGUACUCUACCAGUCUCGAUUACAAGACGGAGAGUCUAGCAGAGGCAUAUCCAUUCCAUUUCUAGCUUGGGCAGUAGCUAGCAAGUGGAAGGCAAAUUGCUACAGGU